Molecule: unclassified non-coding RNA, 326 nt
Filed under: soil metagenome
Description: partial contains 5.8S ribosomal RNA, internal transcribed spacer 2, and large subunit ribosomal RNA
Rfam family: 5.8S ribosomal RNA (bases 4-119)
Source: RNAcentral
GAUAAGAACGUAGCGAAAUGCGAUAAGUAAUGUGAAUUGCAGAAUUCAGUGAAUCAUCGAAUCUUUGAACGCACAUUGCGCCCCUUGGUAUUCCGAGGGGCAUGCCUGUUCGAGCGUCAUUAUCACCCCUCAAGCUUUGCUUGGUGUUGGGGCCUGCUGUAAUAGGCAGCCCUUAAAAUCAGUGGCGGUGCUUCAAGGCUCUAAGCGUAGUAAUUCUCCUCGCUAUAGUGUCUAGUGGUUGCCAGCCAGAACCCCCCAAUUUUCAUGAUUGACCUCGGAUCAGGUAGGGAUACCCGCUGAACUUAAGCAUAUCAAUAAGCGGAGGA